GUCCUCGGGUGCUUGUUGAUUUUGCUUUAGUGGCCGGCUUCUGGUUUAGGCUUUGUCCUAUGCGUGACUUCUGUCCUUAUAACUCCUACAGGUUUCAAUCGCAGACUGGUCUCCAGAACACCCACUCACGCCCAGGCCUGGGCUUUUCCUCUUGUACGUCUGGGUCUGGUGUUUACUUUUCUCAGCAGAGGGGAGCUGCUUGGGGUUAGAAGAAGCCUCUUGAACCAUUGCUCCGCGUAUUGGGACACACACCGCUGGGUUAUAGGCAGUUGGCUUGCGGAGGUAUGAUGGUUGCUGGCUCCUACAUGAUAAGUGGGGUGGACACAUGGCAACAACAGGUUGUACUGAUUGCCUUGAUGUGUUGCAUUGUUAGGGGUAGUGAGUGUAUCAUGUUGGUUGGCCGGUGGAUGAAAAAAAAGUUUUAUUAAAAUUGAAAGUAAUUUCAAGACUCGGUUACUAUGUCCUUUGCUAGAUUUCUUUGCGGCCUGUUAGUGUCAACCAUCUUUGUUGUGUAUUGGCCUGGCACCGAAUGGCAUUGUGACUGCUACUUAAGGGGCUCAGGUAGACCCCAGCACAAAUGAAAGAUCUUUGGAAGUGCCUUCCUUCAAAUGUUGGGAUACGGUACUGAAAGGACAGAUAAUUGUCCCUGCUGUAUUGUAGCUAUUAUUUGCAGGUAGGGUAAAAAAAUUUUUUUUUUAAAAAGUUUUGUUUUUUUUCUUAAUAGUGCUCAGAGCUCAGUCUGUCAGGUUCUCCAUCUCCUCAAUACAUGUUCAAAUAACCUCAGAGUAGGCAGACAACCUAACUCUUAAAGUAGCUGACUGAAAGCAACACAUUUCCCAUUCUACUUCUAUUUCACUGGCCACAAGUCACAUGGCCAUUCCUGAUUCCCUGAGUAGGAGAUACCACUCGUUCCUUAGGAAAUGACACUGAAUGUUUGUGAUCAAUAAUAUAGUCCACUAAAAUUAUAUUUCAUAAUAUAGAAUUCCAACACAAAAGGUGUCUGAAGUUGCUUCAUUUUGGUAUUUUCAAGGUUUUUAUUCUCUCAAUUGGGUAUGGAGCUAAUGUAUGAACUGAUUGUCAGAAAUUUGAAUACAAAUCCCAACCAUUGUCCCUUUCCUAGGGUAGAGAUCUGAUCUUUUCAUUUGUCCAUGAAGCGUGUCCACGAACUUAUUCCUUAUUCUGGCUUCGUUGUACUGAUAGAGUGUUGUUAUUUAGGUCAUAGCUUGCAGUAACACUGUGAAUAUAGUCUUGUUUUAGUCCUUUUCCCUGAUAGUAAUAGAAAAGAAACAUGUGGCAGAUCAAUGGUCACAUACUGUGUGCUUGAGGUCGUGUGAAUCUGUUCUAGUAAAGAUGAUAAUACAGCAACAACUGGGGCUGUGGGUUUGGCUGAAUUUGUCUCCUGUCAACAACCUUGAUCUGUCUCAUCUAUUUGGAGCUAUUCUAGUAAAAAUAGGAAUAUGUUAGAGUAUUGACUCUCAGAUCUUUAAGUACUGCACUAAUCAGUAUCUAAUUUGAGUAUUAACAGACCAUUUCAUGAUUCUUACGGAACAUAAGAGGAUAGGCAGUCACUUCCCACUUAUUUCCCAGUGUCCUUAGGAGGCUGGCAGAAGUUUCCCAUCACUUCCAGGGUUCUAGUUAGGUAUAAGAUUUCUUAUUUCUCUUCCCUAGGGAAUUUUAAAGCAUAAAGGUGCUUAGCAAGAGUCUAGAAGUGAGUCCUUAACAGGUUACCCCACAAUUCAUGUUGUAGACACUUGUUCCAUUUUUGUUCUGUUUUGUUUUUGAGACAGUCUCACUAUGUAAUCCAGGCUGGCCUUGAACUCACUGUGUAGCUGAUACUGGUCUCAAACUUUCUGAUCCUCCUGCCUUCCAAGUUCUAGGAUUACAGAUCCAUGCUAAAAAGGCCCAAAGGUCAUUGGUGGAAGCUAGAAAGUCUAUGCCAGCAGAAUGAAAGCUGUGUUGGUAGGUUGAGGGUUCUAUGCUGGAGCCGAGAAGUCACGUUCAAAACAGACCAGGAUUGUCCUAAAAAGAACCACAGUCAUGAGUGAUAUGGAGGCCCUGAGUUCCUCUGACAAUGAGCACAGUUGAGUACAUGCCAGGAAGUCAGCGUGAUGAGUUCAUCCUAGAGAUUAAGCAGCACACAUCUUCCCCUCUGGGGCCAGGAAGCAAUGCUCAAUGUAAGGAUCAGAGCUUCUCCAGGAGAACCAAUGUCUCAAACAGCAACGUGUAGGAGAACCUACAAUGCCUCAACACCUCCCUUCUCCUUCUCCACGUUUCUAUCCUGGCAACUUUCCUCAGGUGGAACAUGUAUGCUUAGCACCAUACUGAUGUAAUCCAGCUGGCGUUAAAUUGACCAUCAGUUUUUAAUCUGUAACAGUGGUCAUGGUAGACCUCAUUGAAAAAAGAGACAUUUGAAAAUCUGAAGGCAGUGAAAGCUGUGGCCAUGCAUACAUCUGGGGGAAAAAGCCAUUCUAGGUCAGGAAACAGCCUGUCUACAGUCUUUUAAGAUGAGAGGAACAAAGAGCCCAACAUUCUGUAGGUAGUGUCUUCAAGGUUUAUGAAGUAUGUAGGUCUCUUUGUUAAAAUACAUGACUCUAAAAUACUUGUUAAAAUACCAUGCCUUACUAACAAAUUAUGGUUAAAAGUAUAAAAUGUAUACUCAACCUUUUUAAAUGCACAGUGCUGUUACCUAUACAGCAUUUAGUGGCAUUUACACUGUUGAGUAACAGAGCUCUGGAACUUUUUCAUCUUGCAAGCAUAAAACUUUAUAGCCAUGUCCUAUAGUUUGGAUAUGCUUUGUCCCUAAAGGUUUGUGUGUUGAAAUCUUGGUCCCCUGUAUGGCAGCAUUGAGGUAAAGGAGACUUCAUGCAGUGGGGUUUGGUGAAAGGUUAAUUAGAUCAAGAGAGCAGCACUCUUGGAAGAAAUUACUUCUUACAAGACAAAGUUAAUUCCUGCAAAGGAGGUGGGUGGGAAGAGAUCAUUACAAAUGAGGGAGGCUGUCCCUCCCUGUGCUUGCUUCCUUCUUCCUGCACAUGAGUUCUGCCACAGCCUGUCUCCUUUUUCCUUUGCCAUGAUGUAGCCAUAUACCAUACACAACGCUGUUUGGACUUUCCAACAACCAGAAUUGUGAGCCAAUUAAACCUCUUUUUUAAAAAAAGUAUCCAGACUUGGUGUUUUGUUAUAGCAACACAAAACAGUAAGACAUCACAGAACAACUUCCUAUUUUCCCCACUUCUGUUUUUUUUUGUAGUGGAUUUUGGCUCAGGACCUCCUGCUUGUCAGGCAGCUGCUUAUGCCACUGAGCUAAAUCCCUGGCCCUCUUCCCCAGUUCUUGCAAGUACCAUUCUAUUUUGUUUGCAUCUCAUAUAAGUAGAAUGAUAUAGCAUUUUUCCUGAUGUAAAUUGCUGGGGUUUUUUUGGUGUGUUCUUGUAUUGAGAAUUCUGGCUCCAACCUUGCUGCAUGCUGAAUUUAGCUAUUCUCUUGUGCCUACAUAGAACUCAAAUCAUAGCGCUUCUGUUUACCAGCUGAAUCAGAUGGGCUGCCUUUGGCUAUGAGGGAGAGAAGCUGUGACCCAGGUUGUUUUAAACAGUAAAGGAGCAUAUCGCUUGCACAGCAGAAAGUAUGGAGAAUAGGAGAGUCCAGGUUUGGGGGGGGGGGGUGUAUGACAACUAUUCAACAGUGUCCUGAGCAGAUGUUUCCUUCUCUCAGCUCUGUAGACUUCAUUCUCAGGUUGGUAGCAAGGUGAACUGGAGCUGACUCAGGUCUCACAUUCAGUCAUGGUAUGAUAGAAGGAGAAACAUUUCUUCAAAAUUUCUAUGGGAAGAUUUCCUUCACAGCUAAUUGACCAGAAUUGAAUCACAUACCUAUGCCUGAAACUGCUAUUGAUAAGAGAAUCAGUAGUUUAAUCAGUUCUGCUCCAUGGUUAGGGAAAUGAGGAAGAAGUGUUACCUCCAUUGAAACUUAUGGGUGAAUUGAAAGAUAUGUUAGGGAGGAGGAAGAGGGAGAAUGGAAGCUGACUGUCCAGCUACAGGGUGUACUGUAUUAACUGUGUGAUUUGAGGAAAAUCUUUAACCAUUUCUGAUCAUCAAUUAUUUUAAGAAAAUGAGCACAAUAAUUUUCUCAUGUGAGAAUUAAACAGUAUUUCAUGUAUAAUAAUUGAAAUAAUAUAUGUAAGAGCACUGAGAACAUUCCAUGACACAUAUUAUUGCUUAGUUUAUUGGUUCUCAGAUUGUGAUACCAGCAUUAUACCUAGUGUUAUGGGCUGAACUGUCUAUUGCAACUGCUGUAUCUCUCCACUCAUAUUUGCCUAACUCCUAAUUCCUUAGAAUAUGGAGUCUUUUUCUUUUGUACCAGUGAUCAAACUCAGUUAAAAUUAGAAACUGGAAUUAGUGAUGUCCUUAUAACAGGAGCAAAUCAUGACACAGACAGAAAAAAGAAAACAGCAAUCUUUAAGACAAUGAAAGAAGCCUUGGAAUGAACCAACCCCAUUAACAUCUUGAUACUGAACUUCUUCCAAAACUGUGAAAAAAUAGAUUCCAUUGUUUAAGCUACUCAGACACUGGUGUGUUGUGGCAGCCAUAAUAGAUUUGUUAGAUAUAUUUAUAAUAUAUUUGAACUUGUUAGAAAUAUGAAGUCUUUAAUACAUGCCAGACCUACUGAGGCAGAAGCCCUUACAGUGAAGCCCAUUAAUCUGUUUUAAUCUUUUAGGAAAGAAGCCCAUUAAUCUGUUUUAAUCUUUAGGAAAUUUUCAUACACUUAAGAAUUGGUCUAGUUAUUAAGGCUAUAGGAACAUAAUCAGCCUUUAUACCCUAAUAAGGUUCCUAUCUCAAUUGUCUAUCAUUAGCUACCUAUAUAAUUUGGGAUAUUUAAAAAAUCUAUUUUAAUUUCCUCAUUUAUAUAAGGGGGCUAACUCUAACCCUUAUCUCUUAGGUGGUUGUACUGUCAGAUUCAUCCAUCUAGAUAGAAUUUAGAAUGGCUGGGUACAUAGUUGAUGCUCUACAAAUGUGAACUGUUAAGAUAACAUGUAAAUGUUGAAUCUGAAUCUCUUAAGUGCUUGAGUUUGUAAAAACAGUCAAGCUUAUUGGAAUUAUUUGUAAACAAGGGCCUGAGGAUUUCCUUUAGUAAAGUUGACUAUUCCAACCCUUA
Cavia porcellus (domestic guinea pig) is the source of this 5142-nucleotide long non-coding RNA. RefSeq lists it as uncharacterized. Lineage: Eukaryota; Metazoa; Chordata; Mammalia; Rodentia; Caviidae. The record is from RefSeq and is a predicted model, not a curated record. The transcript has 2 exons.